This 72-nucleotide transfer RNA is filed under the name Heterocephalus glaber (naked mole-rat). It matches the Rfam family "tRNA". Rfam says of the family: Transfer RNA (tRNA) molecules are approximately 80 nucleotides in length. Lineage: Eukaryota; Metazoa; Chordata; Mammalia; Rodentia; Bathyergidae. The record is from Rfam by way of RNAcentral.
GGGUGUGUGGCUCAGUGGUAGAGUAUAUGCUUAGCAUGUGUUGGGCCCUGGGUUCAAUACUUAGCACUGCCA